ACGGGAGGCAGCAGUGAGGAAUAUUGGUCAAUGGGCGGAAGCCUGAACCAGCCAAGUCGCGUGAAGGAUGAAGGUAUUAUGUAUUGUAAACUUCUUUAGCAGCAGAGUAAUAAGGGGGUCGAGACCUCCGAUGCAAGUAUGCUGAGAAUAAGGAUCGGCUAACUCCGUGCCAGCAGCCGCGGUAAUACGGAGGAUCCGAGCGUUAUCCGGAUUUAUUGGGUUUAAAGGGUGCGCAGGCGGCUUUUUAAGUCAGUGGUUAAAUCGUGACGCUCAACGUCAUCACGCCAUUGAUACUGGAGAGCUUGAUUGCGGUCGAGGUUUGCGGAAUUCGUCGUGUAGCGGCGAAGUGCAUAGAUAUGACGAAGAACACCGAUUGCGUAGGCAGCAGACCAGGCCGUAAAUGACGCUCAUGCACGAAAGUGCGGGGAUCGAACAGGAUUAGAUACCCUGGUA
This 453-nucleotide ribosomal RNA is filed under the name uncultured Porphyromonadaceae bacterium. RNAcentral describes it as "partial 16S ribosomal RNA". It matches the Rfam family "Bacterial small subunit ribosomal RNA", at positions 341 to 792 of the family's 1533-position model. The record is from RNAcentral. Lineage: Bacteria; Pseudomonadati; Bacteroidota; Bacteroidia; Bacteroidales; Porphyromonadaceae.